CGUGUGCAACCUGCCUUUAUCUGGGGGAUAGCCUUUCGAAAGGAAGAUUAAUACCCCAUAAUAUACUGAAUGGCAUCAUUCGGUAUUGAAAACUCCGGUGGAUAGAGAUGGGCACGCGCAAGAUUAGAUAGUUGGUGAGGUAACGGCUCACCAAGUCUGCGAUCUUUAGGGGGCCUGAGAGGGUGAUCCCCCACACUGGUACUGAGACACGGACCAGACUCCUACGGGAGGCAGCAGUGAGGAAUAUUGGACAAUGGGUGAGAGCCUGAUCCAGCCAUCCCGCGUGAAGGACGACGGCCCUAUGGGUUGUAAACUUCUUUUGUAUAGGGAUAAACCUACCCUCGUGAGGGUAGCUGAAGGUACUAUACGAAUAAGCACCGGCUAACUCCGUGCCAGCAGCCGCGGUAAUACGGAGGGUGCAAGCGUUAUCCGGAUUUAUUGGGUUUAAAGGGUCCGUAGGCGGAUCUGUAAGUCAGUGGUGAAAUCUCACAGCUUAACUGUGAAACUGCCAUUGAUACUGCAGGUCUUGAGUGUUGUUGAAGUAGCUGGAAUAAGUAGUGUAGCGGUGAAAUGCAUAGAUAUUACUUAGAACACCAAUUGCGAAGGCAGGUUACUAAGCAACAACUGACGCUGAUGGACGAAAGCGUGGGGAGCGAACAGGAUUAGAUACCCUGGUAGUCCACGCCGUAAACGAUGCUAACUCGUUUUUGGAAUGUAAGUUUCAGAGACUAAGCGAAAGUGAUAAGUUAGCCACCUGGGGAGUACGAACGCAAGUUUGAAACUCAAAGGAAUUGACGGGGGCCCGCACAAGCGGUGGAUUAUGUGGUUUAAUUCGAUGAUACGCGAGGAACCUUACCAAGGCUUAAAUGGGAAAUGACAGGUUUAGAAAUAGACUUUUCUUCGGACAUUUUUCAAGGUGCUGCAUGGUUGUCGUCAGCUCGUGCCGUGAGGUGUUAGGUUAAGUCCUGCAACGAGCGCAACCCCUGUCACUAGUUGCCAUCAUUAAGUUGGGGACUCUAGUGAGACUGCCUACGCAAGUAGAGAGGAAGGUGGGGAUGACGUCAAAUCAUCACGGCCCUUACGCCUUGGGCCACACACGUAAUACAAUGGCCGGUACAGAGGGCAGCUACACUGCGAAGUGAUGCAAAUCUCGAAAGCCGGUCUCAGUUCGGAUUGGAGUCUGCAACUCGACUCUAUGAAGCUGGAAUCGCUAGUAAUCGCGCAUCAGCCAUGGCGCGGUGAAUACGUUCCCGGGCCUUGUACAC
RNAcentral lists this ribosomal RNA (1265 nucleotides) under bacterium. RNAcentral's name for it is "bacterial SSU rRNA". It matches the Rfam family "Bacterial small subunit ribosomal RNA", at positions 116 to 1388 of the family's 1533-position model. The record is from RNAcentral.